This is a long non-coding RNA of Polypterus senegalus (gray bichir), 500 nucleotides long. RefSeq lists it as uncharacterized. The transcript has 2 exons. The record is from RefSeq and is a predicted model, not a curated record. NCBI's taxonomy places the organism in Eukaryota, Metazoa, Chordata, Cladistia, Polypteriformes, Polypteridae.
AACUCACCUGCUGCUGUAACCUGAGGCACAAAGCAAAACUUUAAACAAAUGAAGGUGACGCCUCUUGGUCAGAGAAAAACCUGAUCAGACAGAACGUUCCAGAAAAGCAAACUUGACUAAAUUAAACACCAGAAUUCACAAGCUGCACCGAGAAGGAUCAUCAUAACAGUUUUAGUCUUCAAUUUAUAGCUUUGUAUACUAGUAAGAAAUAAAGUAGGAAAUUUUGUGGCUCAUACCUGCUGAAGAUUACUUGUUAAAUACACAUCAGAAAAAAUGCAGAAUCCGGAAUCAACAAUGGAGGAAAUGUUUUCAGAAAUGGUUGACAAGCACCAAGAAAAAAGCGAUCAGCUUCAGCAACAGAAUCUUGAAAUUCAAGCUGGCCAAAGAGAGAUAUUAAAUAUCCUGCAAAACCCACAACAUGAAAUGAGCUAUCAAGUCACAUCUGAAGACACUCCUGGCCUCAGCUCAACACCUGUGAAAGAUUCCAGUGCUUCAGGUUU